CGUAUCACCCAAGACAACUUUACGGAGUUGACGAUUGACGGAGCGAAGCGACGUCAAAGCGUUCAUUAAAGUCGAGUUGGCUUAGGGAUACGUUCGUUGGGUAGGGGAGCGUUCUGUAAGCCUGUGAAGGUGUGUCGUGAGGCAUGCUGGAGGUAUCAGAAGUGCGAAUGCUGACAUAAGUAACGAUAAAGCGGGUGAAAAGCCCGCUCGCCGGAAGACCAAGGGUUCCUGUCCAACGUUAAUCGGGGCAGGGUGAGUCGACCCCUAAGGCGAGGCCGAAAGGCGUAGUCGAUGGGAAACGGGUUAAUAUUCCCGUACUUGGUGUUACUGCGAAGGGGGGACGGAGAAGGCUAUGUUGGCCGGGCGACGGUUGUCCCGGUUUAAGCGUGUAGGUGUGUGUUCCAGGUAAAUCCGGUUCACUUUAACACUGAGGCGUGAUGACGAGGCACUACGGUGCUGAAGCAACAAAUGCCCUGCUUCCAGGAAAAGCCUCUAAGCAUCAGGUAACAUCAAAUCGUACCCCAAACCGACACAGGUGGUCAGGUAGAGAAUACCAAGGCGCUUGAGAGAACUCGGGUGAAGGAACUAGGCAAAAUGGUGCCGUAACUUCGGGAGAAGGCACGCUGACACGUAGGUGAAGUGAUUUACUCACGGAGCUGAAGUCAGUCGAAGAUACCAGCUGGCUGCAACUGUUUAUUAAAAACACAGCACUGUGCAAACACGAAAGUGGACGUAUACGGUGUGACGCCUGCCCGGUGCCGGAAGGUUAAUUGAUGGGGUCAGCGCAAGCGAAGCUCCUGAUCGAAGCCCCGGUAAACGGCGGCCGUAACUAUAACGGUCCUAAGGUAGCGAAAUUCCUUGUCGGGUAAGUUCCGACCUGCACGAAUGGCGUAAUGAUGGCCAGGCUGUCUCCACCCGAGACUCAGUGAAAUUGAACUCGCUGUGAAGAUGCAGUGUACCCGCGGCAAGACGGAAAGACCCCGUGAACCUUUACUAUAGCUUGACACUGAACAUUGAGCCUUGAUGUGUAGGAUAGGUGGGAGGCUUUGAAGUGUGGACGCCAGUCUGCAUGGAGCCGACCUUGAAAUACCACCCUUUAAUGUUUGAUGUUCUAACGUGGACCCGUAAUCCGGGUUGCGGACAGUGUCUGGUGGGUAGUUUGACUGGGGCGGUCUCCUCCUAAAGAGUAACGGAGGAGCACGAAGGUUGGCUAAUCCUGGUCGGACAUCAGGAGGUUAGUGCAAUGGCAUAAGCCAGCUUGACUGCGAGCGUGACGGCGCGAGCAGGUGCGAAAGCAGGUCAUAGUGAUCCGGUGGUUCUGAAUGGAAGGGCCAUCGCUCAACGGAUAAAAGGUACUCCGGGGAUAACAGGCUGAUACCGCCCAAGAGUUCAUAUCGACGGCGGUGUUUGGCACCUCGAUGUCGGCUCAUCACAUCCUGGGGCUGAAGUAGGUCCCAAGGGUAUGGCUGUUCGCCAUUUAAAGUGGUACGCGAGCUGGGUUUAGAACGUCGUGAGACAGUUCGGUCCCUAUCUGCCGUGGGCGCUGGAGAACUGAGGGGGGCUGCUCCUAGUACGAGAGGACCGGAGUGGACGCAUCACUGGUGUUCGGGUUGUCAUGCCAAUGGCACUGCCCGGUAGCUAAAUGCGGAAGAGAUAAGUGCUGAAAGCAUCUAAGCACGAAACUUGCCCCGAGAUGAGUUCUCCCUGAGACUUAGAGUCUCCUGAAGGAACGUUGAAGACGACGACGUUGAUAGGCCGGGUGUGUAAGCGCAGCGAUGCGUUGAGCUAACCGGUACUAAUGAACCGUGAGGCUUAACCUUACA
Molecule: ribosomal RNA, 1823 nt
Filed under: Salmonella enterica subsp. enterica serovar Typhimurium
Lineage: Bacteria; Pseudomonadati; Pseudomonadota; Gammaproteobacteria; Enterobacterales; Enterobacteriaceae
Description: partial 23S ribosomal RNA
Rfam family: Bacterial large subunit ribosomal RNA
Source: RNAcentral